UACGUAGGUGGCAAGCGUUGUCCGGAAUUAUUGGGCGUAAAGCGCGCGCAGGCGGUUUCUUAAGUCUGAUGUGAAAGCCCCCGGCUCAACCGGGGAGGGUCAUUGGAAACUGGGGAACUUGAGUACAGAAGAGGAGAGUGGAAUUCCACGUAUAGCGGUGAAAUGCGUAGAUAUGUGGAGGAACACCAGUGGCGAAGGCGACUCUCUGGUCUGUAACUGACGCUGAGGCGCGAAAGCGUGGGGAGCGAACAGG
Molecule: ribosomal RNA, 253 nt
Filed under: uncultured bacterium
Lineage: Bacteria
Description: partial 16S ribosomal RNA
Rfam family: Bacterial small subunit ribosomal RNA
Source: RNAcentral